RNAcentral lists this unclassified non-coding RNA (4063 nucleotides) under Leishmania donovani. Its description in RNAcentral is "gene:LdHU3.06.0800(CDS-product:hypothetical_prote in_conserved)". The record is from RNAcentral. Lineage: Eukaryota; Euglenozoa; Kinetoplastea; Trypanosomatida; Trypanosomatidae.
UGCCGCCUCCGUUAAACAGCGCGUCGCUUUACUCUUCCUUUGCUUGUGGGCACCAUCCACGACGAGCUUCCACACAUCAGCGCGGACGCACCGUAGACGCUUUCCUUGCGCAACCCCCCCUCCCCCCUCCUCCCUCCCUCACCCGCUUCUCUGUCGUCUCUCAAGACGUAGGCACCAACACGUGAUCUCUUUACCAAGUACCCAUUCUCGCCCCGUCGUCUUCCUUACUUCCUCUGCCUCGCUCACGACCCUCUUCGUGGGCCUCCCCUCGCCGCUGCGCGCCAGCACACCGACACGCACGCGAGCAAGGAAGGUCGCUCACGAGACACGAGUCACAUCAACAUCAACGCCAUCACCGCCACGAAGGCGACGCGCGCGCUCCAGUUGUAUCUACAUCUAUAUAUAUAUACACGCAUACACGCGAGGUUUUUCGCUCUGCCCCGUUUUCCGUAGCCCAAAUCCUCAUCGACUCGCUAUUGUGCCACGUGUGUCGCCUGCCACACCUCUGUUCCCCUCACCCUCCCCCAUCCCCCGCCUCUCUCUCGUGCGGAUACAGCAACACACGGCGGUGCUACACACCACGCCCAGUCACCGAAACGACUCGCAGAAGAGGGGAAUGGGCUGCAAGUGCACAAAGACCAAGGAUAAGAGGAAACACGAGGGGCUGCCCGGGGCCUCCGCAGAGGACGCGGGGCACGAGGCGGUGCAGUACGCCGGCACCUCCGAGCUGGAUGAGGCGCUCGUGAGCGAAUCGGUGCGCCCUUCCGCGACAGCGAGCGCCUCCCACAGGAGGGGUGAGGGGAGCCCCAGAUCGCCGGCGCGACUGCCGGAGGAAGCGGUAGCGGAGCAGCAGGCAGACGAUGCGGCGGCUGCCGUUGGUGCACCUGAUGACUCGACGCAGACGACGACAGAGAUGUCGGUGAAGCCGAAGCAGAGCGAUAAUGCUCCAGCAGAGGCCGACGACGCCUCCAAGAGCGUCGGUGUGGUGCCGCACUCGUUCACAAGCCGCACCUGGACGCCAUCAGAGCAGCAGAAGCCCGAGCGGGAGGUGCCAAAGGUUGGCAGCCAGUUCGACUUUGAGGCGGAGAGCACCGACAGUGAGGAGAAGGCGGCGGCAGAUGAGUGGGAGGUGGAGCUCUCGCAGCCGUGCUCCUUACCGCCAUCGACGCAGCAGCAACCGGAGCCCGCGCCCGUCCCGCCAGCGGCAGUGACAGCGACGUUGAACGACGCGGAGGCAACAACGCCGGUCGCCAUGGAAAGUGUCCCGCAGCCGAUACCGAAGCGCGAGUCACCACGCUCGCUGCCGGACGUUGCCAACGGUCAGAGCGCGAGCGCUGCAACGUCGUUGAACGCACCCGCUCCCGCGCCGCGCCGCCUUUCGCGGAAGCCGAGCAUCGCGAGCUCUUCGUCCGUUUCCGUGCGGCCGUCACGACGGCCGUCUCAGCGCAACCUGCUGCAGCCAUCGACGCACAACGGCGGUAGCCUGCGGGCUUCUCAGUACGUCGCCUCUCCCGCAGCUGCUGCUCCACCCCCGCCUCUCGCCCUUCCUAGAGACGAAUAUCGCGCUGCUGCAGCGGCGCCGCCGUCGCCGACACCGUCGACGGCCUCGACUUCAGUGACACCCAUCAAUAAAAAAGCGUUGAUACCGGUCGGCAAGCCGUCUGAACGCAUGGAGGCACUUCACCACGGCGCUGACACCGGCCGCGAGACGGUGGCGUCGCGACAGCACCUGAACCGGUUUCUCUACCGCGAGAGCCCGGUUGGCCUGUGCACGCCACACUCGCAGCCGCCUCUGCGGCCUGUGUCUGGACAGUGGCGGCGCGGCUUUCUCUCUCCCAUUCCGUAUCGUCGGGGCUACACGAACCCGAACCCGGGCGCUGCCCCUCACAAGCACCGCAUAUCAACGACGUACAUGCCCCCGCCUACGGCGUACGUCAUGGGGGCUGCCGGCGGUGCGCCGCCACGGCUUUUGUUCGACGCUUCAACGCUUGCCACCAUCGAGGCAUCCACCACUAGACUUAUCGAAGCGCACACGCUGCGCCUCGCCGGCGCCCACAACGGCGCGGCGGCGAUGAUAACGGGCAACGGCCGGGCGAAUGGGGCGCCCGUUUCCGCGCCGCAGCGCUUUGUGGCGCCAUCGAUGUCGGUGCCACUCGCGUCACGACUGCCGACGCCGAACCUAAGCGAUCCCGUGCCCUCCCUCGCUGCGUCGGCAGCAGGGGUGUCUGCUGGUGCUUCCGCGCCACCGUCGACAACCGCUGGCUCUUCGUACUCGCGCGGCAGCCAGAAACCAAAGUUGGCCAUGCCAGCACCUCGAGCGCAGCAGCAGCAGCGCUUUCCCGCCGCUCUCCACGCUGCAGAGCAGUCCUCGGAGCAGCACACGUCUAAUCGCGCAGGCAUGCCAGCACAAGCUGCGGUAAACCAGACGGCGAGGUACGACGACGAUGGCGUCGACGCCCCGAGUGCGGAUGUCUCGUACGGCGCGGUGCAGGAGCCGGGCGUGCACGAGCAACAGUACUGCAACACGCUCGAGCCCCGUGAGGACAGUGUCACCACCUACGAACCGUCGACAACGGAUGAGGUGCCGACAAACGCGGCCGUGCUGCUGCCGGUAGGCUGCGAUGAAGGCAGCUCACCCAUAUUCCAGUAUCCUUGACGACGCGGACGCCGACAACACUCACGCCCGAAAAGGCGGCGGCCACGCACCCGAAUCUCCGUCAGCGGGAGCCCCAUGGGGAAGCUGCGGCGCCUAACACCGCCACAGAACGAGCUGAAGUAGCCUGCGGCAGUGGCCACGUGAAUGGUGCACAAGGACCCUGCGUUGCAGCCGCUGCCGCCGCCGUCGCCGUAGAGGGGGAAAAGCUUUAGAAUGUGGCCAAGAUCGUGGCGCAGAUGGGCACCAUCACGCCCAUGUAGCUGGAAGCAGAGAAAGGACUGCGGGAGAGUGUAGAUGUGUCGCAGCUGAUAGGAAGCGCAGCCGCCUCGCUCUCCUACGGCACCAUGCAGCCGUGUGGGAGCGGCGCCAUCGACUCUGGGGCGGGUCGAAGAGGGAGCGAAAGUCUAGUGGCAAGCGUAGAGCAGGCCUCUCGCCUUGCCAGGGCACAUGUGAGCGUGCUUCGCCGGGCCUCUAUCACUGUGCAGCUGUCUGCGUCUCUCUGCUCUCUGCCUGUUUUGCUCGCGUCUCGCUUCGUUUCCUUACUUCCAUGUGCUGUUGCCAUUCUCUUGUUGCUUCGGUUGUUGAAUUCGCAUGAGGGAGCAAGAGAGGAGGGUGUGGAGAGGGGGGUGGGGCGCAGCACCUUCCUCCGGCCCUCCGGCCCUCCUCUGUCGUUGUGUGUGGGUGCGCGCGUGCCUGUACCGAUGUUCCUGUGUUUUUUCUGCUUCGCUUCCCCAAUACCGCCGCCGCCACCGCCACCGCUUGUGUGCGUCGUCUCUGACUGUGUAUGUUUGGUCUCUUAGAAACUCUCUUUCCCGUCGUGCUGCGAUGGCGGGCCUGCAUGCAGCAAGCCCCCUCCCCCACCUCGUGCAGCUCCCCCUUCUACUCACCGCCUUUGCAGCUGCGCCGAUGGACGGAUGACGAGUGGAUGUUUUGGAGCUCGCGACGUUGUGGUAGGCCAUGUACAUGCUUGUGCUGUAUGCAACGCCUUCUUGGUGUGCGUGUAUGAGUGGAGGGGGAGGAGUCCAUCUCUCUCUUUCUCUCGCGUUCUCGUUUCGUUUCUUCGCAUCUCCGUCGCUGAUCUCCGACCUCGAUGAGCGUGUUCUCUAUGCGCCUGCCUCGCCUGCUGCGUGCGGCGGCAUUGCUGCCAUUGAAGCUGCACCUCGCCCUCCUUUCUGUGGCGCCGUGCGGAUGCAGAACGCGCAUGGUUGGUCGGCGCGUAGAGGCGUACGUAUGCUUCGAUAGCCCUGCUGUGAGGGGCCACCCCACGCCACCCUACCCCACCCCUCUUAACACCUCUUGCGCCCCUUCGGUGCCUCUUCUCCAUCCCUGACGACACACCCACGCGAGCGCAUUACCAAAAUCUGCUUCUUGUUAUCGAAAACGUUUGACCCACCCUCGCUGGUGCAG